CCCCUUCCCAUCUCUCCAUCCCCUGGUUGCUGCUUCUUGAAUUGCCCAAGGAGAGUGUGCAGUCAACACCAUCCCAUAAAGAAGCUGCCUGAACAUCAUAUCCUGAGCAUCCUAGAAAGGAAAUCCCUAGAACAGUCCCUGGCUCAGAGAAGGACUGCAGAAAUCUCCAUCAGCUGUGGCAUCACUUGGAAUCUCUCAUUUCUGUCAUUUUCAUGUCUAUAUUUCACAUCGUCUUCAACAACUCUAAGAAAUAAAUCACGUCCCUCUUUGGAGAUAAGGAACCGAUACUUAAGGAGAAGGGAAGAUGCAAACAGAGCCAUUCAGUCAUGUGGUGAGCCUGGAACCCAGGCUCAGCUAUCAUAGAGCAGUUUUUUCUGCUGGGUGUUUGAAGCCCAGGGGUGUAUGCCAGUGCACCCGGGGGUCUUAAAUCCACAGUGCAGAUGUGAUACGUCUCCCCAAAGCAUCAGUUCUAUCCCAACGUUCACAGAAAUAAAAAAUGUUAUUCUUAGAUUAAAACAAAUGCAGAUUUUGCAUAAAGCACAAUGUACAAUAUUUGCAUAAAUUACUAAGAUAAGAAAAUUCAGCUUAAGACAAAUUUCCAUCCUUGCAGAAAUCAGCUUAGAGCUCUGUAGCACACUUCCACCACCUCUCCCUAGCUUUUACAUUAACCAGCUGUGUGAUUUUGGGCAAAUUACUUAACGUCUCUUAACGUCCCUAAUUUUUCUCACCUGUAAAAUGGAGUAAUCGUGCCUUCCUCAUAAGUUUGUUGUUAUGAAGAUUAAGUUAAGAUACAUAAGAGAAACCCCCAAAACAGAGCCUGACACAGAAGAAAAAAAAAUGAAAACAUUCAUUUUCUUAUCAUUAUUAUGUUGCAAUUUUUUUAAUUUUUUUUUUUUUUGGAGAU
RNAcentral lists this long non-coding RNA (904 nucleotides) under Homo sapiens (human). RNAcentral describes it as "HSALNT0129165". Lineage: Eukaryota; Metazoa; Chordata; Mammalia; Primates; Hominidae. The record is from RNAcentral.